AUAGAAACCGUACUCCAAACCGACACAGGUGGUCAGGUAGAGAAUACCAAGGCGCUUGAGAGAACUCGGGUGAAGGAACUAGGCAAAAUAGCACCGUAACUUCGGGAGAAGGUGCGCUCUCUGAUGUGAAGGACUUGCUCCGUAAGCAUUAGGGAGUCGAAGUGACCAGGCCGCUGCAACUGUUUAUCAAAAACACAGCACUCUGCAAACACGAAAGUGGACGUAUAGGGUGUGACUCCUGCCCGGUGCCGGAAGGUUAAUUGAUGGGGUUAGCGCAAGCGAAGCUCUUGAUCGAAGCCCCGGUAAACGGCGGCCGUAACAAUAACGGUCCUAAGGUAGCGAAAUUCCUUGUCGGGUAAGUUCCGACCUGCACGAAUGGAGUAAUGAUGGCGGCGCUGUCUCCACCCGAGACUCAGUGAAAUUGAAAUCGCUGUGAAGAUGCAGUGUACCCGCGGCAAGACGGAAAGACCCCGUGAACCUUUACUAUAGCUUGGCACUGGACUCUGACACUAUCUGUGUAGGAUAGGUGGGAGACUUUGAAGCGUGGUCGCUAGACUGCGUGGAGUCAACCUUGAAAUACCACCCUGGUAUUGUCGGGGUUCUAACGCUGACCCGUCAUCCGGGUUGCGGACAGUGUCUGGUGGGUAGUUUGACUGGGGCGGUCUCCUCCCAAAGAGUAACGGAGGAGCACGAAGGUACCCUCAGCAUGGUCGGAAAUCAUGCAAUGAGCGCAAUGGUAGAAGGGUGCUUAACUGCGAGACCCACAAGUCGAGCAGGUACGAAAGUAGGUCAUAGUGAUCCGGUGGCUCUGUAUGGAAGGGCCAUCGCUCAACGGAUAAAAGGUACUCCGGGGAUAACAGGCUGAUUCCGCCCAAGAGUUCACAUCGACGGCGGAGUUUGGCACCUCGAUGUCGGCUCAUCACAUCCUGGGGCUGAAGCCGGUCCCAAGGGUAUGGCUGUUCGCCAUUUAAAGUGGUACGCGAGCUGGGUUCAGAACGUCGUGAGACAGUUCGGUCCCUAUCUGUCGUGGGCGUUGGAGAUUUGAGAAGAGUUGCUCCUAGUACGAGAGGACCGGAGUGAACGAACCUCUGGUGUUCGGGUUGUCACGCCAGUGGCAUUGCCCGGUAGCUAUGUUCGGACGGGAUAACCGCUGAAAGCAUCUAAGCGGGAAGCCUCCUUCAAGAUGAGAUCUCCCUGGGGCUUUAAGCUCCCUGAAGGGCCGUCGAAGACUACGACGUUGAUAGGUUGGGUGUGUAAGCGCUGCGAGGCGUUGAGCUAACCAAUACUAAUUGCCCGUGAGGCUUGACU
This 1308-nucleotide ribosomal RNA is filed under the name metagenome. RNAcentral describes it as "bacterial LSU rRNA". It matches the Rfam family "Bacterial large subunit ribosomal RNA", at positions 1635 to 2925 of the family's 2925-position model. The record is from RNAcentral.